RNAcentral lists this ribosomal RNA (271 nucleotides) under uncultured bacterium. RNAcentral's name for it is "partial 16S ribosomal RNA". It matches the Rfam family "Bacterial small subunit ribosomal RNA", at positions 524 to 794 of the family's 1533-position model. The record is from RNAcentral.
GACGAACCGUGCGAACGUUGUUCGGAAUCACUGGGCUUAAAGGGCGCGUAGGCGGGCGAUCAAGUCAGUGGUGAAAUCCUCCAGCUCAACUGGAGAACUGCCUCUGAUACUGGUCGUCUCGAGGGAGGUAGGGGCAUGCGGAACUGCUGGUGGAGCGGUGAAAUGUGUUGAUAUCAGCAGGAACUCCGGUGGCGAAAGCGGCGUGCUGGACCUCUUCUGACGCUGAGGCGCGAAAGCUAGGGGAGCAAACGGGAUUAAAUACCCUAGUAGU